GUUAAUAAAAAUUAUAAAUGGAUAACUAUAGUAAUUCUAAGGCUAAUACAUGUUAAAUUUUUUAUUAAAAAAAUUAUAUUUAAAAAUUAAAAGAAGUUUAUGUUUCUAGGUAUAAGUAAAUAUUGAGUAAUUUUAAAUAAAUGAAUUAAAAUAAAUAAUAUAUCAAUUAUGUAUUUGACCUAUCAGUUUGAAUAAUAAGACAUUGGCUUAAUAUAAUAAUGACGGGUAACAAAGGAUUAGGGUUUAAUUCAGGAGAGGGAGCUUGAAAAAUGGUUACCACAUUUAAGGAAGGCAGCAGGCACGUAAAUUAUCCAAUUUUAAGAAAAAGAGGUAGUGAUAAGGAAUAACAAUGCAAAAUAUAAAAAUUGUUUUGUAAUUAGAAUGAUAUGAAUAUAAAUAUUUUAUUAAAUAUAAAUUGGAGGGCAAGUCUGGUGCCAGCAGCCGCGGUAAUUCCAGCUUCAAUAAUAUAUAUUAAUGUUGUUGCAGUUAAAAAGCUCGUAGUUGAAGUUUUGAAAAUAAUCAUAGAGUUUUUUAUUUAUAUAUAAUUUAUUUUGUAAUUGUUGGUUUUAUAUAAGAAAUUUUAUAUGUUUGUAUAGUAAUUAAUUUUAUUAUUUUGAGGAAAUUAGAGUGUUUUAAGCAUGAUUUUUUAGUUGAAUAAUGGAGUAUGGAAUAAUAAAAUUGUAAUAAGAUUUAUUUUUUGUUGGUUUUAAAAUGUUAGUGAAUUAUUUUGAAGAAUAGUUGGGGGUAGUUGUAUUUAACAGUAAGAGGUGAAAUUCUUAGAUUUGUUAAAGAUAAAUUAUUGUGAAAGCAUUUAUUAAAAAUAUUUUUUUUAAUUAAGAGGAAAAGUUAGGGACUCGAAGACGAUCAGAUACUGUCGUAGUCUUAAUUAUAAACAAUGCCGAUUAUGGAUUAGAUGUUUUGAAUUAUUUGAAUUAUUUAGUAUUUGUAGAGAAAUCAAAGUUUUUAGGCUUUGGGGGGAGUAUUGUUGCAAGGUAGAAACUUAAAGGAAUUGACGGAAAGGCACCACCAGAAGUGGAGUAUGCGGUUUAAUUUGACUCAACACGGGAAAUUUUAUUAGGUCCAGACAUAGGAAGGAUUGAUAGAUUAAUAGUUUUUUUUUAAUUUUAUGGGUAGUGGUGCAUGGUUGUUCUUAGUUGGUGGAGUGAUUUGUCUGGUUAAUUCCGUUAACGAACGAGGCUUUAAUAUAUUAAAUAGAGAAAUAAUGUUUGAUAUGCUUUUAUUUUUGAUAUUUUUUUGAUGGAUUUUAUAUAUAUAAUAUAAGGAAGUUUAAGGUAAUAACAGGUCUGGAAUGCCCUUAGAUGUUUUAGGCUACACGCGCGCUACAAUAAUGUGAAUAAAUAGUUUAUAAUUAUAAUUGUUAAAAUAUAGUAAUCUUGUAAUAUACAUUUUAAUUGGGAUAGUAUAUUGUAAUUAUUAUUCUUAAACAAGGAAUUUCUAAUAAAUGCAAGUGAUAAUCUUGUGUUGAAUAUGUCCCUGCCUUUUGUACACACCGCCCGUCGCUCCUACUGAUUG
RNAcentral lists this ribosomal RNA (1533 nucleotides) under Aggregata polibraxiona. RNAcentral's name for it is "Aggregata sp. SCM-2020a partial small subunit ribosomal RNA". It matches the Rfam family "Eukaryotic small subunit ribosomal RNA", at positions 123 to 1691 of the family's 1831-position model. Lineage: Eukaryota; Apicomplexa; Marosporida; Aggregatidae. The record is from RNAcentral.